CAGAAGGAACUAGUCCCCAAGAGCUGGGGUGGGGUGGGGGCUGGGGUGUGUGUGAGGGAGAGACAGGUGUUAAGGACAGAGAACGUUGACACAGAACCUAGGAACGGGUCAGAGACAACAGGACCUGGUAGGUAGGAUGAAGCAGACUCACCGUCAGAGGUCAGAGGGGACAUAGGGGACCAGGAAUGGGAAUGACAGAAGCCUAAAGAAAGAAGCUGGAGAUGCCCACAGAGGGAGGAGCUGAGAUUUUAAUUAGGAGCUGCAGCGUCUCUUCUGUGGACGAGGCUCAGGCUCUGAGUCUAGGCACAGCCACAGCAGCUGCUGGGACCCAGGAAGCAUGAAUAACGCCAAGAUAACAACCUACAGCAUCAAUGGUAAUAACCAUGAACACUUAAGAACGCUUUUAACUGGAACCCGGCAGAGGCUCUUUUAACCACUCACUGCCCCAGCACCACAGGGUGAAGUACUGAAGAUCACUGCUUUCAAAGAAACUGAAGCCCAGCAAGAUUAAGACCCACCUUCUGAGUGCCCCCCCUCCCCGCCCCAAGUCUCAUGAUAGAAGCCCUCAGCCCCAAACCUCUUAGGGCUCAAGAGAUUUUGUCCUAGUGGGGCCUUGGCCUAUCUGUAAAAUGGGAACAGAGAAGCCCACAGUCCCUAAUGGAGUGAUAACUCUGUGCCAAGCCCGGUACUGAGGGAUGCAAUGGACACCACCCUCUGGGAGCUCCCGGUCUCAGAGACAGACAGACAUGUAACAGUUCACCCAGAGAACAUGUGAACACAUCAUAGCUAACAUGGUGGGAUAACAGGUCUUGAAGCAAGUGAGAUAUAUGGCCAAGAUCUCCUUCCUUCUGGCUAACCUGCGCUCGGUAUGCUCAGUGAGAGGAUGUGGUUCACUUAACCAAGCCCUGGGUCAGAUCUCCCUAGAAAUUUAGAACUACAAGUUACACCAGACUGACACUGAGAUGCAAAUUGCUAUUAAAUACACUGUUUUUAAAAAAUGCAGACUCCAGGGUUGCUUGCCUCUGCCUCCCAAGAGCUGGGGUUAAAGCAUUACACCUGGUGUGCCUUUUAACAUUUUUAAAGUGUGUGUGUCAGUGCCUGUUUGAAUCCCUUGGAACUGGGGUUAUCUACUGGUGGUUGUUAGCUACCUGAUGACCUGAGAAUUGAACCCAGGUCCUCUGGAAGAACAGCAAAAUGUGCCUACCACUGAGUCACCUGUCCAUAUUAAAUUCAUGGUAGGGCUGCUA
RNAcentral lists this long non-coding RNA (1247 nucleotides) under Mus spicilegus (steppe mouse). Its description in RNAcentral is "lncRNA (ENSMSIG00000029838.1)". The record is from RNAcentral. Lineage: Eukaryota; Metazoa; Chordata; Mammalia; Rodentia; Muridae.